AUUCCCACCCGUCUCAAUAGUCAUUGAUACAGUCCGUAUAUCGAUCUCAAUCGCGUCCGACCACAUCAUCCCCUUCUCUUUUUUAUCUUCCUCUUUCUCACCACACCCGUCCGUGUAUAUUCGUCAACUGUAGAUUAUUAUAUUUGUACAGUAUUUGAUUCGUCCGUUCACGUGUUCCGUCCCCUUCAAUUUAUACUCUCGCGUCAUAUUAACGUCAAAGAAACGUCAUCUUGUCGUCGUAACAGUAUACCGACGCCCGGCC
Cinara cedri is the source of this 262-nucleotide non-coding RNA. The record is from the annotation of a GenBank genome assembly. Lineage: Eukaryota; Metazoa; Arthropoda; Insecta; Hemiptera; Aphididae.